Molecule: microRNA precursor, 59 nt
Filed under: Octopus vulgaris (common octopus)
Lineage: Eukaryota; Metazoa; Mollusca; Cephalopoda; Octopoda; Octopodidae
Also listed under: 1 other name
Description: Ovu-Mir-12584-v2_pre stem-loop
Source: RNAcentral
CUGAGCAAAGGAAAUGUUAGGCCGUAAAAUAUUCCUGGCAGCAUGUUCUUUUCUCUGAU